GGCAGUUCUCGGGUGACACACCCCAGAAUUGGGCUCCCUCCUCUCUGGUUCCGGGUGUGUCACCCGAGAACUGCA
This is a non-coding RNA of Myotis lucifugus (little brown bat), 75 nucleotides long. NCBI's taxonomy places the organism in Eukaryota, Metazoa, Chordata, Mammalia, Chiroptera, Vespertilionidae. The record is from Rfam.